GUUGAAAUGCUGUGAAUGCUGCAGGGCAGAAGAGUGCUGGAGCUGCAGUUGUUUUUCUCUGUGUUUGUGAAUGUGUUGUGUUUGUCUCCUGCAGCUGGUCCCACAGUGAAGCCCUCAGUGUCUCUGCUGCCGCCCUCUUCUCUGCAGAUCUCUGGAGACUCAGCCGCACUGCUCUGCCUGCUCAGCUCUUACUCUCCACAGGGGGCGCUGGUGAGCUGGACACUGGACGGCUCAGAGGUCACCGAGGGGGUUGUGACCAGCGCAGAGAGCGAGCAGGACGGCCGCUACAGCCGUAGUAGUGUCCUGACCCUCAGCAAAGCACGCUGGGAAGCGGGAGAGCAGUACGUCUGCAGAGUAACACAUGAUGGAGCUCCUCAUGAGGCCUCGUUCCACAAGAGUCGCUGUUAGUCGCUCGCAGUGCUGAUGUUUCUCCAGUGAGCGCUGCUCUCUCCUGAAGAUGAGCGUAUCUGAGUGUCCUGUGUCAGGCAGGAUUCACAUGAGUCUAGUGCUGCAGCUGUAGUCAUUUACAACUCAAUACUGAAAGAGAGCUCUAGUGUCAAAGCACUGGCUGAUCUUUCAAUCUGCUGUGUUUGCUGCAACAUUCAAUAAAGCUUCUCAACAAAC
This is a non-coding RNA of Carassius gibelio (silver crucian carp), 624 nucleotides long. Lineage: Eukaryota; Metazoa; Chordata; Actinopteri; Cypriniformes; Cyprinidae. The record is from the annotation of a RefSeq genome assembly.